This 289-nucleotide ribosomal RNA is filed under the name uncultured bacterium. RNAcentral's name for it is "partial 16S ribosomal RNA". It matches the Rfam family "Bacterial small subunit ribosomal RNA", at positions 506 to 796 of the family's 1533-position model. The record is from RNAcentral.
UGCCAGCAGCGCGGUAAUACGGAGGGGGUUAGCGUUGUUCGGAAUUACUGGGCGUAAAGCGCACGUAGGCGGAUUGGAAAGUUGGGGGUGAAAUCCCGGGGCUCAACCUCGGAACUGCCUCCAAAACUAUCAGUCUAGAGUUCGAGAGAGGUGAGUGGAAUUCCGAGUGUAGAGGUGAAAUUCGUAGAUAUUCGGAAGAACACCAGUGGCGAAGGCGGCUCACUGGCUCGAUACUGACGCUGAGGUGCGAAAGUGUGGGUAGCGAACAGGAUUAGAUACCCUGUAGUCC